RNAcentral lists this ribosomal RNA (446 nucleotides) under uncultured bacterium. Its description in RNAcentral is "bacterial SSU rRNA". It matches the Rfam family "Bacterial small subunit ribosomal RNA", at positions 331 to 793 of the family's 1533-position model. The record is from RNAcentral.
CCAGACUCCUACGGGAGGCAGCAGUGGGGGAUAUUGCACAAUGGGGGGAACCCUGAUGCAGCGACGCCGCGUGGGUGAAGGAGUAUUUCGGUAUGUAAAGCCCUAUCGGCAGGGAAGAAGCAAGACGGUACCUGACUAAGAAGCCCCGGCUAACUACGUGCCAGCAGCCGCGGCAAUACGUAGGGGGCGAGCGUUAUCCGGAUUCACUGGGUGUAAAGGGAGCGCAGGCGGCACGGCAGGUCCGGUGUGAAAGCCCGGGGCCCAACCCCGGGACUGCACUGGAAACUGCCGGGCUGGAGUGUCGGAGGGGCAGGCGGAAUUCCUAGUGUAGCGGUGAAAUGCGUAGAUAUUAGGAGGAACACCGGUGGCGAAGGCGGCCUGCUGGACGACGACUGACGCUGAGGCUCGAAAGCGUGGGGAGCAAACAGGAUUAGAUACCCGUGUAA